AUUAAACGCUGGCGGCAUGCCUCACACAUGCAAGUCGAACGGCAGCACGGGGGCAACCCUGGUGGCGAGUGGCGAACGGGUGAGUAAAGCAUCGGAACGUGCCCUGGAGUGGGGGGAUAACGUAGCGAAAGUUACGCUAAUACCGCAUAUUCUGUGAGCAGGAAAGCAGGGGAUCGCAAGACCUUGCGCUCUGGGAGCGGCCGAUGUCGGAUUAGCUAGUUGGUGGGGUAAAGGCCUACCAAGGCGACGAUCCGUAGCGGGUCUGAGAGGAUGAUCCGCCACACUGGGACUGAGACACGGCCCAGACUCCUACGGGAGGCAGCAGUGGGGAAUUUUGGACAAUGGGCGAAAGCCUGAUCCAGCCAUGCCGCGUGAGUGAAGAAGGCCUCGGUUGUAAG
RNAcentral lists this ribosomal RNA (398 nucleotides) under uncultured bacterium. RNAcentral's name for it is "bacterial SSU rRNA". It matches the Rfam family "Bacterial small subunit ribosomal RNA", at positions 29 to 429 of the family's 1533-position model. The record is from RNAcentral.